GCAAGUCGAGCGAAUGGAUUAGAGAGCUUGCUCUUAUGAAGUUAGCGGCGGACGGGUGAGUAACACGUGGGUAACCUGCCCAUAAGACUGGGAUAACUCCGGGAAACCGGGGCUAAUACCGGAUAAUAUUUUGAACUGCAUGGUUCGAAAUUGAAAGGCGGCUUCGGCUGUCACUUAUGGAUGGACCCGCGUCGCAUUAGCUAGUUGGUGAGGUAACGGCUCACCAAGGCAACGAUGCGUAGCCGACCUGAGAGGGUGAUCGGCCACACUGGGACUGAGACACGGCCCAGACUCCUACGGGAGGCAGCAGUAGGGAAUCUUCCGCAAUGGACGAAAGUCUGACGGAGCAACGCCGCGUGAGUGAUGAAGGCUUUCGGGUCGUAAAACUCUGUUGUUAGGGAAGAACAAGUGCUAGUUGAAUAAGCUGGCACCUUGACGGUACCUAACCAGAAAGCCACGGCUAACUACGUGCCAGCAGCCGNGG
Molecule: ribosomal RNA, 484 nt
Filed under: Bacillaceae bacterium
Lineage: Bacteria; Bacillati; Bacillota; Bacilli; Caryophanales; Bacillaceae
Description: bacterial SSU rRNA
Rfam family: Bacterial small subunit ribosomal RNA
Source: RNAcentral